RNAcentral lists this unclassified non-coding RNA (430 nucleotides) under soil metagenome. RNAcentral's name for it is "partial contains 5.8S ribosomal RNA, internal transcribed spacer 2, and large subunit ribosomal RNA". The stretch from base 1 to 120 matches the Rfam family "5.8S ribosomal RNA", at positions 35 to 154 of the family's 154-position model. The record is from RNAcentral.
GAUGAAGAACGCAGCGAAAUGCGAUACGUAAUGUGAAUUGCAGAAUUCAGUGAAUCAUCGAAUCUUUGAACGCAUAUUGCGCUCUCUGGUAUUCCGGAGAGCAUGCUUGUUUGAGUAUCAGUAAACACCUCAACUCCCUUUUCUUUUUUGAAAUGGGAGCUGGACUUGAGUGAUCCCAACGCUUUUCUCACCGGAAAGUGGCGGGUUACUUGAAAUGCAGGUGCAGCUGGACUUUUCUCUGAGCUAUAAGCAUAUCUAUUUAGUCUGCCUAAAAACAGAUUAUUACCUUUGCUGCAGCUAACAUAAAGGAGAUUAGUUCUUGUGCUGACUGAUGCAGGAUUCACAGAGACAGCUUCGGCUGACUUUGUAAACUCGAUCUCAAAUCAAGUAAGACUACCCGCUGAACUUAAGCAUAUCAAUAAGCGGAGGA